Molecule: ribosomal RNA, 432 nt
Filed under: uncultured bacterium
Lineage: Bacteria
Description: bacterial SSU rRNA
Rfam family: Bacterial small subunit ribosomal RNA
Source: RNAcentral
GCUGAAGGUACCGUAGGAAUAAGCAUCGGCUAACUCCGUGCCAGCAGCCGCGGUAAUACGGAGGAUGCAAGCGUUAUCCGGAUUCAUUGGGUUUAAAGGGUGCGUAGGCGGGACGGUAAGUCAGGGGUGAAAGCCAGCAGCUCAACUGUUGAAUUGCCUUUGAUACUGCCGUUCUUGAGUGUGGAUGAAGUGGGCGGAAUUUGGCAUGUAGCGGUGAAAUGCGUAGAUAUGCCAAAGAACACCGAUUGCGAAGGCAGCUCACUAAACCAUUACUGACGCUGAGGCACGAAAGCGUGGGGAGCAAACAGGAUUAGAUACCCUGGUAAUCCACGCCCUAAACGAUGAUCACUCGAUGUUGGCGAUAUACUGUCAGCGUCCAAGCGAAAGCGUUAAGUGAUCCACCUGGGAAGUACGAUCGCAAGGUUGUUGUCG